CCUACGGGGGGCAGCAGUGGGGAAUAUUGCACAAUGGGGGAAACCCUGAUGCAGCAACGCCGCGUGAGCGAUGAAGGCCUUCGGGUCGUAAAGCUCUGUCCUAAGGGAAGAAUACUGACGGUACCUUAGGAGGAAGCCCCGGCCAACUACGUGCCAGCAGCCGCGGUAAUACGUAGGGGGCUAGCGUUAUCCGGAAUUACUGGGCGUAAAGGAGGAAUAGGCGGCGCUUCAAAUCAGAGGUUAAAGGCUACGGCUCAACCGUAGUAAGCCUUGGAAACUGUAGGGCUUGAUUGCAGGAGAGGAGAGUGGAAUUCCCAGUGUAGCAGGGAAAUGCGUAGAUAUUGGGAGGAACACCAGUUGCGAAGGCGGCUCUCUGGACUGUAACUGACGCUGAGGCACGAAAGCGUGGGGAGCGAACAGGAUUAGAUACCCUAGUAGUC
RNAcentral lists this ribosomal RNA (440 nucleotides) under uncultured bacterium. RNAcentral's name for it is "bacterial SSU rRNA". It matches the Rfam family "Bacterial small subunit ribosomal RNA", at positions 338 to 795 of the family's 1533-position model. The record is from RNAcentral.